Molecule: unclassified non-coding RNA, 520 nt
Filed under: uncultured Glomus
Lineage: Eukaryota; Fungi; Glomeromycota; Glomeromycetes; Glomerales; Glomeraceae
Description: SSU rRNA
Rfam family: Eukaryotic small subunit ribosomal RNA
Source: RNAcentral
AGCAGCCGCGGUAAUUCCAGCUCCAAUAGCGUAUAUUAAAGUUGUUGCAGUUAAAAGCUCGUAGUUGAAUUUCGGGGUUAGUAGGUUGGUCAUGCCCCUGGUAUGUACUGGUCUCACUGAUUCCUCCUUCCUGAUGAACCUUAAUGCCAUUAAUUUGGUGUUUUGGGGAAUUUGGACUGUUACUUUGAAAAAUUAGAGUGUUUAAAGCAAGCUAACGCUUGAAUACAUUAGCAUGGAAUAAUGAAAUAGGACGUUCGAUCCUAUUUUGUUGGUUUCUAGGAUUGACGUAAUGAUUAAUAGGGAUAGUUGGGGGCAUUAGUAUUCAAUUGUCAGAGGUGAAAUUCUUGGAUUUAUUGAAGACUAACUACUGCGAAAGCAUUUGCCAAGGAUGUUUUCAUUAAUCAAGAACGAAAGUUAGGGGAUCGAAGACGAUCAGAUACCGUCGUAGUCUUAACCAUAAACUAUGCCGACUAGGGGAUCGGAUGAUGUUAAUUUUUUAAUGACUCAUUCGGGCGCCUUA